CAAAUGCUCUCUAGCAAACUUCAGACGGGCCUGGACAUGUACUGGCUUAAGCAGGGGGACACGUCUGGCACUGCAGGAUUUAAGUCCCUGGCGGCGUAGUGUGUUACUGAUGGUAGGCUUUGUUACUUUGGUCCCAGCUCUCUGCAGGUCAUUCACUAGGUCCCCCCGUGUGGUUCUGGGAUUUCUGCUCACCGUUCUUGUGAUCAUUUUGACCCCACGGGGUGAGAUCUUGCGUGGAGCCCCAGAUCGAGGGAGAUUAUCAGUGGUCUUGUAUGUCUUCCAUUUCCUAAUAAUUGCUCCCAGUUGAUUUCUUCAAACCAAGCUGCUUCCCUAUUGCAGAUUCAGUCUUCCCAGCCUGGUGCAGGUCUACAAUUUUGUUUCUGGUGUCCUUUGACAGCUCUUUGGUCUUGGCCAUAGUGGAGUUUGGAGUGUGACUGUUUGAGGUUGUGGACAGGUGUCUUUUAUACUGAUAACAAGUUCAAACAGGUGCCAUUAAUACAGGUAACGAGUGGAGGACAGAGGAGCCUCUUAAAGAAGAAGUUACAGGUCUGUGAGAGCCAGAAAUCUUGCUUGUUUGUAGGUGACCAAAUACUUAUUUUCCACCAUAAUUUGCAAAUUAAUUCAUUAAAAAUUAUUUUUAUUGACCCAUAUUUAACAGCGCCUUCAGAAAGUACUCAUACCCCUUGACAUAUUCCACAUUUUGUUGUGUUACAGCCUUCAGAAAAUACUCAUACCCCUUGACAUAUUCCACAUUUUGUUGUGUUACAGCCUUCAGAAAAUACUCAUACC
Molecule: long non-coding RNA, 789 nt
Organism: Oncorhynchus keta (chum salmon)
Lineage: Eukaryota; Metazoa; Chordata; Actinopteri; Salmoniformes; Salmonidae
Exons: 3
Source: RefSeq, a predicted model, not a curated record